This 440-nucleotide ribosomal RNA is filed under the name uncultured bacterium. Its description in RNAcentral is "partial 16S ribosomal RNA". It matches the Rfam family "Bacterial small subunit ribosomal RNA", at positions 338 to 795 of the family's 1533-position model. The record is from RNAcentral.
CUUACGGGGGGCAGCAGUAGGGAAUAUUGCUCAAUGGGGGAAACCCUGAAGCAGCAACGUCGCGUGGAGGAUGAAGGUCUUCGGAUUGUAAACUCUUUUUGUUAGAGAAGAUAAUUACGGUAUCUAACGAAUAAGCACCGGCUAACACCGUGACAGCAGCGGCGGUAAUACGGAGGGUGCAAGCGUUACUCGGAAUCACUGGGCGUAAAGAGGGCGUAGGCGGGAUAGCAAGUCAGAUGUGAAAUCCUAUGGCUUAACCAUAGAACUGCAUUUGACACUGUUAUUCUUGAGUAUGGGAGAGGUAGGUGGAAUUCUUGGUGUAGGGGUAAAAUCCUUAGAGAUCAAGAAGAAUACUCAUUGCGAAGGCGACCUGCUAGAACAUAACUGACGCUGAUGCGCGAAAGCGUGGGGAGCAAACAGGAUUAGAUACCCUUGUAGUC